GCCAGACUCCUACGGGAGGCAGCAGUGGGGAAUAUUGCACAAUGGGGGAAACCCUGAUGCAGCGACGCCGCGUGAGUGAAGAAGUAUUUCGGUAUGUAAAGCUCUAUCAGCAGGGAAGAGAAUGACGGUACCUGACUAAGAAGCCCCGGCUAACUACGUGCCAGCAGCCGCGGUAAUACGUAGGGGGCGAGCGUUAUCCGGAUUUACUGGGUGUAAAGGGAGCGUAGACGGCUGGUCAAGUCUGAAGUGAAAGCCCGGGGCUUAACCCCGGAACGGCUUUGGAAACUGAGCAGCUAGAGUGCUGGAGAGGUAAGCGGAAUUCCUAGUGUAGCGGUGAAAUGCGUAGAUAUUAGGGGGAACACCAGUGGCGAAGGCGGCUUACUGGACAGUAACUGACGUUGAGGCUCGAAAGCGUGGGGAGCAAACAGGAUUAGAUACCCGGGUACAC
Molecule: ribosomal RNA, 448 nt
Filed under: uncultured bacterium
Lineage: Bacteria
Description: bacterial SSU rRNA
Rfam family: Bacterial small subunit ribosomal RNA
Source: RNAcentral